Molecule: transfer RNA, 76 nt
Filed under: Pseudomonadota bacterium
Lineage: Bacteria; Pseudomonadati; Pseudomonadota
Also listed under: 2 other names
Description: Proteobacteria bacterium tRNA-Lys
Rfam family: tRNA
About the family: Transfer RNA (tRNA) molecules are approximately 80 nucleotides in length. Their secondary structure includes four short double-helical elements and three loops (D, anti-codon, and T loops). Further hydrogen bonds mediate the characteristic L-shaped molecular structure. tRNAs have two regions of fundamental functional importance: the anti-codon, which is responsible for specific mRNA codon recognition, and the 3' end, to which the tRNAs corresponding amino acid is attached (by aminoacyl-tRNA synthetases). tRNAs cope with the degeneracy of the genetic code in two manners: having more than one tRNA (with a specific anti-codon) for a particular amino acid; and 'wobble' base-pairing, i.e. permitting non-standard base-pairing at the 3rd anti-codon position.
Source: RNAcentral
GGGCCGUUAGCUCAGCCGGAAGAGCACCGGACUUUUAAUCCGUAGGUCCCGGGUUCGAGCCCCGGACGGCUCACCA